This 135-nucleotide unclassified non-coding RNA is filed under the name uncultured fungus. Its description in RNAcentral is "sequence contains ITS1, 5.8S rRNA gene". Lineage: Eukaryota; Fungi. The record is from RNAcentral.
AAAUUUAUUGGUUUGAGUUUAAUACUCCCAACAUUUUUGUGCACAGUAUAAAAACAACCCAACUUUUAAUUUUCUGAUAUUAUUUCUUUUUCUGUUUUAUUACUCUGUAAAAAAACGUGAAUAUGAAUAUAAAUA